AUUUUGCCCCUUUUAUAUUUAAAAAAAGAGCAAAAACUGCCCUCAACAAGGGGCAUUUCCGCAAGCGGGCGCCCAGGGACAACCCACCUAAUUUGGCCACUUAGGCUUGGGCACAUCGCCUAUGCGCUGUAUGGUCCGCUUUUUAAAACAAUGUGACUGAACAUAGAAAUAAUUUGAUUAUGGCUGCAAGCUUUGUCUUUUAGUUCUUUUGUAUCUCAGGUUUUUGAUUCGUGGUGAAGAUUGUAAAUUUUAUAGGCAAUGACAUGAUGCUGUUGCUUUUAAGAGAAUUAUGGGCAUUCUGGAAGUCCUCACAGGCCUUUAAUUGCUUUUUCGCAUAAAAUUAUUUAGUGAAUUUUGCCAGUUUGCUCCCAUAUGCCAAUGAGAUAUUCUAUGUUUUUAUGGGUUUUAUUGUAAACAAUCCCCAGUUUGUUUCACUCUGGAAUUAUUUGUAAAUUUCAUGGUAAAUAAUAUGAUAAGGAAUUAAACUGCCUGAAUGAUAGAAAAAGAGCCCUUAUGUGGGCCAGAGUAUUUUGAGUUUAAUUUUUUUUUUGAUAAAGUUAACAUUGUUAAAUUUUUCUUUUUUUUUUGGAAGCUUUGAGUUUAAAUUUUCCUUUUUUGCUUAAUUGGACCAAAGACUGUUUUGCCGCGUAGCUCCCCCGCCCCUUCACCCCUUCCCUGCAGAAAGGGUCAUAACCACCAAGGAAAAUUUGGUAUAAGUAUGUCAAAUGGAGCACUUCUAUGUUUUUUAGGCAACGUUUCUGUACUAGGGAAAUUCAUAAUGGGUAGUUUGAAUUAUUUGAUCUCUCUUUGAACCUCUAACAAUCUUCAUGCUGUUAGUGCUUAUUGUCUAGUUGUCUCGCGCGUCCUCAUAAGGACUAAACUGAACAGGCUGGUUGGAGUUGGACUGAUAUAGACCAGAAUCAGCUUGUUUUCUGUACUCGCCAAAUUGGUGUAAAUGGUUGAAGUAGGUGCCUGAGGUCCCUAGAUAGUAUUCAGUGUCUUGAUCAAUGUAGCGUUUUUCGAGUUCUGCAAUCCUGAGAGUGUUGCUAAUGUUGUUUUCUCGAAAGUACAAUUCGUUCAUCAAACAAAAUAUGAACUCUAAGUUGUACUCAAAGACUUUAAAUAAACAGAGACAAGGUGGCUGCUAAUGUAAAUAAUGCCUUUGUUUUGUGCAUAUAUAAGCCCAUGUACAUUUUACCCGGUAAACAACACAUCCAAUAACAGAAUAUUGUGAAGGGCACUUUGGUGACCAGUGUACUAUUAUAGAUCACCCAAUGUACACAUGCUGCAACUAGUACCUCUUGAAAUAAAUGCUUACAUACAUAUAGUGCAAGAGCAUUUUACAAAUGAAGAGAAAAGAACAUUUAGUGAUUUAAGAGAUGCUUCUCUUUGGAAUUAUUAAGUGUUACAUUCUUAACUAAAUCUGCGGCCUAUAAAGAAUGCAAUUAUGUUAUCCACCUGCAUAUAGUUGAUUCUAGAUGUUCAACUUUUUCUCUUAAAUUAGUUAUUUUCUUAUUUAUUUAUUUAUUUAUUUUUGUGUUUCUUGUCCUAUUUUCUUUUAUGAAUACAACAUCUUACUGGUAUGAAUAAGCAUUCAUAAAAAGCUCUAUGUAUGCUUCUACUUCAAAUGAUUAGCUGGCAGAUCUGAAAACUAGUUUGUGAUUUUCAUGGUUGUCAUAUGUAGCUGGUAGUAUUGAAAAUUGGAUUGUGAUUUGCAUGGUUGUCAUAUGUACAUAUUCCAAUAUUGGAUGCUUAGAUGAUUGCAUGUUUUGCAUUCUAUUGCAGAGAUAUUAUUCUAUUGUUAUUUUUUUUCUUUCCAAGCUGUGAUGUAUCUCCUUUCUCCUUGUAUGCAAAAAGUAUUUGCUUAGGAUAUAGUGCUAUGUUAUUGCUUCAGUUCCUUCAACUUUCCAUCUAGUGUUUUUGAACUUUUGAUACCUGAUUUUCCUAUUCUCCCUCCAGUUUUCAUUCUUAUGGUCUUUGACCUACACAUAAUGUUUGUCUUUAUGAUAUCGACCACCCUUUGGUUUCCUUCUCCUUUGUGAUCUGACUAGAUAGAACAAUCAUGAAAAUGCAGUUUUCCUGCUGUGAGAGAAAAAAAUUUAUAUGAUCAGGCGAUGAUUUUGUGCUUAAUGCAAUUAUUUUUCUAAGAAUACAAAAAUCCAUGCCCAUGUCCGCAAUCUUUGUUACCAACUAUAUGUUUGCAUAUCAUAUAUUCAAGAUGGUUGGUCCUAUGAUCUAUUUUGUGCUUGGUUAUGUCAGAAAGGUUAUGCAUGACAUUUCUCAUUGAAUGUUCCACUUGAGUUAUAACCACAUUUCUCAUUCUAGAGAUCACGUGGAUAGUUGAUGAGUUGAUCUAGGUUACAUUCUUGCAUCUUCAUUUAUGAAGUUAUGGGAAUGAAGAACGAAAAUGUAGCUCUGCAAAUUUAGAAAAAUUCCUGAUUACUAUUGAAAAAUUUGUAGUAAACUAGUAAUGAACAAAAUUUGUACAAGAAGAUUUGGAAACUGUCUCUUUGUGUGAUUAAAGUUUUGGUAAAUAAUCGAAUUGACAUGGAAAUGAAGAAGGAAAAUGUAGCUGCAAAUUUAGAAAAAUUACUGAUUACUAUUGAAAAAUUUGUGGUAAUGAAAAAAUUUGUACAAAAAGAUUUGGAAACUCUCUUUGUGUGAUCAAAGUUUUGGUAAAUAAUUGAAUUGACAUGGAAAGUUCAACUGUCUUGAUCCAUUGCAUGUUUUGUAAUUAAACUUCCUAGUUGUUAUGUUCAAACAUAGUGCAGGGUUGGAUAGAAAAUUGACAUCUACAAAUGGUUAGAUAUAUCAAUGAUAUUCGGCAUAAAAUAUAAAAGUUUCGCAAAUGAACAGCUCAUGUUCUGGAAUCUGGAUUGCUUUGGAAUUUUGGCUGCUCGUGCAACAUUUGAAAAUCAGAGUUGCUCAUUUGUAAUAUUAUGGUUUAAUGCUUGAUUAUUGGCAACAUGAAUUUUCUAAAUAAUUUGUUUCACAACAAUUGGUGAUAUCACUAUGAGCAUGGAACUUAAGUUUUGAUGCUUCGCAUCUUUCUCAGAGUUGCUCAUUUGUAAUAUUAUGGUUUAAUGCUUGGUCGUUGGCAACAUCAAUUUUCUAAAUAAUUUGUUUCACAAUGAUUGUUGAUAUCACUAUGCACAUGGAACUUAAGUUUCGAUGUUUUGCAUCUUUCGUGUUUUUAAGUCUUGCAGGGAUUUCUUUUGUUUUGUCUGAGGAAAUUGAUUGCCUUCACAAGGGUAUUUGCUUUAUCUUUUCCUUUUGCUGAUUUUGAAUUAGAAUUACACUUGAACUUAAUGAGAAAAGGGAUUCUACCCUGAUUCCUGGAAAUAUUAUUUGGUAGUUGCGUUAUAAGAGUUUUGAUUUCUUGUGAAUGUAUAAUGAAACCGAGGAAAUAGUAGAUUGGAGACACUGACCGAAGGAAACCCUCUGACUGAUUGCAAUCAGGAGCAAAGGGCUAGCACGACUAAUGAUUCAAAGAAUCCCCAAGCACAAAUGUUCACCUAUUUCAGACCAAUAAAUCCUGUCUCUGUUGCUUGCAACUGGAGUUCUUUCAUCAAAUGAUGCAUAUGGGCUGCCCGGUGGCCCGAUUGAGCCUGGUCAGUAAGAGAUUCUAAAAGAGACUACUGUAUGCAUUAGGAGGGGAGAUAGGAAGAUGGAGGGUAUUGGGCGUACAAAGAGAUGUGGCACUAGUGGGCCUGUUGCUUGGUUCACUUUAUCUGGCUUAGAUGUGGACUGAGAAUGGAGGUUGAGACAUGAAUGAUGGCGCCCGGCUGGGGGUUGGCCCUGAGAUGGAGGUUUUGGUGGUAGUAUAUAAGAGAGAGAGAGAGAGAGAGAGAGAGAGAGAGAGAGA
Molecule: long non-coding RNA, 3865 nt
Organism: Amborella trichopoda
Lineage: Eukaryota; Viridiplantae; Streptophyta; Magnoliopsida; Amborellales; Amborellaceae
Source: RefSeq, a predicted model, not a curated record